AAGCAAUAGCCUCGCUUAUACAGAAUAAUUCCAUAUUCAUUGUUCUUUCUAAUAUCCAACAGUUUGCUCUUCCUGCUAACUAAUUAUCUGUAGCUAUUACAAUUACAAUAUCCAAAUGCCUCCAAAUUAGAAGUCUUCCUAUGUUUCUGAUAACAAAUACUAAACAUUUGUAAUAAUAAUUUUGAAAGUGAUCCGAACUUCUAUGCUCCUUGACAAAUGCCAC
RNAcentral lists this long non-coding RNA (223 nucleotides) under Manihot esculenta (cassava). Its description in RNAcentral is "long non-coding RNA (MESC_LNC007187)". The record is from RNAcentral. Lineage: Eukaryota; Viridiplantae; Streptophyta; Magnoliopsida; Malpighiales; Euphorbiaceae.